This 415-nucleotide ribosomal RNA is filed under the name uncultured archaeon. Its description in RNAcentral is "partial 16S ribosomal RNA". It matches the Rfam family "Archaeal small subunit ribosomal RNA", at positions 330 to 747 of the family's 1478-position model. The record is from RNAcentral.
GUGCAGCAGGCGCGAAAACUCCGCAAUGCGCGAAAGCGUGACGGGGUCACCCCGAGUGCCGUCCGCUGAGGACGGCUUUUGCCUGGUCUAACCAGCCGGGUGAAUAAGGGGAGGGCAAGUCUGGUGUCAGCCGCCGCGGUAAUACCAGCUCCCCGAGUGGUUGGGACGAUUAUUGGGUCUAAAGCGUCCGUAGCCGGCUGAGGAAGUUUUCCGUUAAAUCCAACGAUUCAAUCGUUGGGCUGCGGGGAAUACUCCUCAGCUUGGGGGCGGGGGAUGUCGGCGGUAUUUCCGGGGUAGGGGCGAAAUCCUAUAAUCCCGGAAGGACCACCAGUGGCGAAGGCGGCCGACAAAAACGCGCCCGACGGUGAGGGACGAAAGCUGGGGGAGCGAUCGGGAUUAGAUACCCCCGUAGUCC